RNAcentral lists this ribosomal RNA (767 nucleotides) under uncultured Inocybe. RNAcentral describes it as "eukaryotic LSU rRNA". The stretch from base 297 to 450 matches the Rfam family "5.8S ribosomal RNA". The record is from RNAcentral. Lineage: Eukaryota; Fungi; Basidiomycota; Agaricomycetes; Agaricales; Cortinariaceae.
UAAAGUCGUAACAAGGUUUCCGUAGGUGAACCUGCGGAAGGAUCAUUAUCGAAUAAACUUGAACGGGUUGUUGCUGGCUCUCCAGGGAGCAUGUGCACACUUGGUCUCGUCUUUAUUCCUCCCAACUGUGCACUUAUUGUAGACCCUGGAGGCAAAUUGUUGCUGAUCAUCCAGAUUGAUUGAGGACUGCUGCGCUUUUUUCAAAAGCCAGCUUUGCCUCGCGUCUCCAGGUCUAUGUCAUUACACAACCUCUACAGAAUCAGAAUGUUUGGAUCGUUGAUAUGAUAAAUAUAUACAACUUUCAGCAACGGAUCUCUUGGCUCUCGCAUCGAUGAAGAACGCAGCGAAAUGCGAUAAGUAAUGUGAAUUGCAGAAUUCAGUGAAUCAUCGAAUCUUUGAACGCAUCUUGCGCUCCUUGGUAUUCCGAGGAGCAUGCCUGUUUGAGUGUCAUUUGAGUUCUCAACCGCGCCAAUUUCUUUUUUGGUGUGGCUUGGAUGUGGGGGCAUUUUGUUGCCGGCUUUGGAAACGAGGUCGGCUCCCCUGAAAUGUAUUAGUGGUGUCUGAGCAGGGACUACUGCAGGUGUGAUAAUUUAUCUGCACCUCUGGUAUGCUGUAUGAACAGACUGUGCUGCUUCUAACAGCCGGAAUCGUUUGACAAACUUGACCUCAAAUCAGGUAGGACUACCCGCUGAACUUAAGCAUAUCAAUAAGCGGAGGAAAANNNNUAACAAGGAUUCCCCUAGUAACUGCGAGUGAAGCGGGAAAAG